This 506-nucleotide ribosomal RNA is filed under the name uncultured bacterium. Its description in RNAcentral is "partial 16S ribosomal RNA". It matches the Rfam family "Bacterial small subunit ribosomal RNA", at positions 30 to 523 of the family's 1533-position model. The record is from RNAcentral.
AUUGAACGCUGGCGGUAUGCUUAACACAUGCAAGUCGAACGGCAGCAUGGUCUAGCUUGCUAGACUGAUGGCGAGUGGCGGACGGGUGAGUAACGCGUAGGAAUAUGCCUUGAAGAGUGGGACAACUUGGGGAAACUCAAGCUAAUACCGCAUGUACUCGAGAGAGUAAAGCUGGGGACCUUUAGGCCUGGCGCUUUAAGAUUAGCCUGCGUCCGAUUAGCUAGUUGGUAGGGUAAAGGCCUACCAAGGAGACGAUCGGUAGCUGGUCUGAGAGGAUGAUCAGCCACACUGGAACUGAGAGACGGUCCAGACUCCCACGGGAGGCAGCAGUGGGGAAUAUUGGACAAUGGGGGGAACCCUGAUCCAGCAAUGCCGCGUGUGUGAAGAAGGCCUGAGGGUUGUAAAGCACUUUCAGUGGGGAGGAGGUUUGGAAGGUUAAGAGCUAUUCAAAUGGACGUUACCCACAGAAGAAGCACCGGCUAACUCCGUGCCAGCAGCCGCCGUAA